GUUAAAAAGCUCGUAGUUGGAUUUCUGUCCGAGGCAGCCGGUCCGCACCUGGUGCGUGUAUCAGGUUUGACUAGGGCAUCCUCUUGGGGAACGUUUCUGUGCUUCAUUGCAUGGGACGGAACUCAAGACUUUUACUUUGAGGAAAUUAGAGUGUUCACGGCAAGCUAUCGCUUUGAAUACAUUAGCAUGGAAUAAUAAUAUAGGGCGUAAGUCUUAUUUUGUUGGUUUCUAGGACAUACGCAAUGAUUAAUAGGGACAAUUGGGGGCAUUCGUAUUAACGCGUCAGAGGUGGAAUUCUUAGAUUGCGUUACGACGAACUACUGCGAAAGCAUUUGCCAAGGAUGUUUUCAUUGAUCAAGAACGAAAGUAUGGGGAUCGAAGACGAUUAGAUACCGUCGUAGUCUAUACCAUAAACUAUGCCAAUUAGAGAUUGGAGGUCGUUCGUUUUAUGACUCCUUCAGCACCUUAUGAGAAAUCAAAAUUUUUGGGUUCCGGGGGGAGUAUGGUCGCAAGGCUGAAACUUAAAGGAAUUGACGGAAGGGCGCCACCAGGAGUGGAGCCUGCGGCUUAAUUUGACUCAACACGGGAGAACUUACCAGGUCCAGACAUAGUAAGGAUUGACAGAUUGAUAGCUCUUUCU
RNAcentral lists this ribosomal RNA (640 nucleotides) under uncultured marine eukaryote. Its description in RNAcentral is "SSU rRNA". It matches the Rfam family "Eukaryotic small subunit ribosomal RNA", at positions 618 to 1262 of the family's 1831-position model. The record is from RNAcentral.